Molecule: ribosomal RNA, 253 nt
Filed under: uncultured bacterium
Lineage: Bacteria
Description: partial 16S ribosomal RNA
Rfam family: Bacterial small subunit ribosomal RNA
Source: RNAcentral
UACGUAGGGGGCAAGCGUUGUCCGGAAUCAUUGGGCGUAAAGCGCGCGUAGGCGGCUCGGUAAGUCCGUUGUGAAAGUCGAAGGCUCAACCUUCGAAAGCCGAUGGAUACUGCCGGGCUAGAGUACGGAAGAGGCGAGUGGAAUUCCUGGUGUAGCGGUGGAAUGCGCAGAUAUCAGGAGGAACACCAAUAGCGAAGGCAGCUCGCUGGGACGUUACUGACGCUGAGGCGCGAAAGCGUGGGGAGCAAACAGG